This 449-nucleotide ribosomal RNA is filed under the name uncultured bacterium. RNAcentral's name for it is "partial 16S ribosomal RNA". It matches the Rfam family "Bacterial small subunit ribosomal RNA", at positions 29 to 523 of the family's 1533-position model. The record is from RNAcentral.
AACGAACGCUGGCGGCAGGCCUAAAACAUGCAAGUCGAACGAUCUAGCAAUAGAUAGUGGCGCACGGGUGAGUAACACGUGGGAAUAUCCCUUUCACUACGGAACAACGUCGGGAAACUGACGCUAAUACCGUAUAAUGUCUCCGGACCAAAGAUUUAUCGGUGAAAGAUUAGCCCGCGUCUGAUUAGGUAGUUGGUGAGGUAACGGCUCACCAAGGCAAAGAUCAGUAGCUGGUCUGAGAGGAUGAUCAGCCACACUGGAACUGAGACACGGUCCAGACUCCUACGGGAGGCAGCAGUUAGGAAUAUUGGACAAUGGGGGCAACCCUGAUCCAGCCAUGCCGCGUGUGUGACGAAGGCCUUAGGGUUGUAAAGCACUUUCGUCUACGAAGAUAAUGACAGUAGUAGAAGAAGAAGCUCCGGCUAAAUUCGUGCCAGCCGCCGCAGUAA